GACGAACGCUGGCGGCGUGCCUAAUACAUGCAAGUAGAACGCUGAAGAGAGGAGCUUGCUCUUCUUGGAAGAGUUGCGAACGGGUGAGUAACGCGUAGGUAACCUGCCUUGUAGCGGGGGAUAACUAUUGGAAACGAUAGCUAAUACCGCAUAACAAUGGGUGACCCAUGUCAUUUAUUUGAAAGGGGCAACUGCUCCACUACAAGAUGGACCUGCGUUGUAUUAGCUAGUAGGUGAGGUAACGGCUCACCUAGGCGACGAUACAUAGCCGACCUGAGAGGGUGAUCGGCCACACUGGGACUGAGACACGGCCCAGACUCCUACGGGAGGCAGCAGUAGGGAAUCUUCGGCAAUGGGGGCAACCCUGACCGAGCAACGCCGCGUGAGUGAAGAAGGUUUUCGGAUCGUAAAGCUCUGUUGUAAGUCAAGAACGAGUGUGAGAGUGGAAAGUUCACACUGUGACGGUAGCUUACCAGAAAGGGACGGCUAACUACGUGCCAGCAGCCGCGGUAAUACGUAGGUCCCGAGCGUUGUCCGGAUUUAUUGGGCGUAAAGCGAGCGCAGGCGGUUUGAUAAGUCUGAAGUUAAAGGCUGUGGCUCAACCAUAGUUCGCUUUGGAAACUGUCAAACUUGAGUGCAGAAGGGGAGAGUGGAAUUCCAUGUGUAGCGGUGAAAUGCGUAGAUAUAUGGAGGAACACCGGUGGCGAAAGCGGCUCUCUGGUCUGUAACUGACGCUGAGGCUCGAAAGCGUGGGGAGCGAACAGG
RNAcentral lists this ribosomal RNA (765 nucleotides) under uncultured Streptococcus sp. RNAcentral describes it as "bacterial SSU rRNA". It matches the Rfam family "Bacterial small subunit ribosomal RNA", at positions 28 to 776 of the family's 1533-position model. The record is from RNAcentral. Lineage: Bacteria; Bacillati; Bacillota; Bacilli; Lactobacillales; Streptococcaceae.